Taeniopygia guttata (zebra finch) is the source of this 3035-nucleotide long non-coding RNA. The record is from Ensembl. Lineage: Eukaryota; Metazoa; Chordata; Aves; Passeriformes; Estrildidae.
AUUGUCUCAGCGGGACUGCACUGAGGGUCUGCUGCCAUUGCCUUGGGACAUCUCUUGGCCAGUGGAGCCAUCCUCUUUGGAAAGCCCUUGGCCAACAGAGUCCUCCCAGUCAGACGGUUCUGGGGAGCUUCUGACUGCUCCUUGGGACAGCCCUUGCUCCAUGCAUUCUUCCCCAUGGAAAAUUCUUGGUAGCUAAGGGCUUCUCCCUGGGACAGCUCCUGCUCUCCUCAUCCCAGUUGGUGAGUUACGGAUAUUCUCAGUUCAGUCAGAGAGAAAAGGAGAGUUUUCUACCAGGCUGGGCUUGGGAAAGAGUUUGAAAGGAAUGUAAAUAAUUUACUAUCUCUCUUGUUGUUCACAUUGUUUAUAGAUAUGUUCUGCCUACAUGAGUCAUUCAGACACUGCGCUCCAACGGUGUGAGAUGAUUUUACUUUAAGACCAAUGAAAUUGGUCUGCAAGAUGUGCUCUAUAAAAAGAGUGAUGUAUUUGAAAUAAAGGAUUUGAGUUCAGUCCUUCUAGCCUUCUGACUUGGAGUCUUCAUUAUCCCCGUCCUGCCUCAACAGCGACAGAGAGUUCUCCACAGCUACUGACGUCUCCUUGGGAGAGCUCUCACUCAAGAGAUUCUUCCCAGUCAGUGAUCUCUUGGCAGCUCCUAACAUCUCCCAGUGGGGAAGGUUCAUGAUCCAUGUCAGAGUCACGCUCUUUCUCCAUGCUGACAAUGGUCCCCUCCCCCUCAGUCCCUGACAGGGGCAGGACUGAGCCACCCACUGCCCUCACCAAGUGCCUGCUGAGGGCCUGGUGUUCGGCCAGCUGGGCAAGGGGCUGGGGGGCUGCAAUUUGGGGUUUGCUUUGUCCUCUUCCAUCUCUGUCGUGCUCUAGCACAGAGACAUCCCAGGAGCUGCUUCCUCCCGAGAGAGGCCCCAGGGCUCUUGCAUGGCUUCCCCCACGACACAGUGGAUCCAGCUCUCCCUCAGCAGGUUUGAGAAUCUGAUGUGGAGAGACUUGGUAUCUUGGAGGAUGAUAAGAACGGCUUACAUUAAGGAAUUAAUUAAAUUGAGGGUUGCUACAUAAAUGGAGCAGGAUGAUGGCAACAAUGUAUCCAUCAUGAAGCUAAAACAAUUCAAAAGGGAGCCUGUCUUAGAGUAUAUGUAUAUAACUGGGAAAAGAAGGAACUAGGAACUGUUUCAUAUGCAGAACAGUGACACCCUUGGGAAAACUGAAACAUAGGGGGACAGCUCACAUAACCACAGCUCUCCAAAGAAUUAAGGGUUCAUUAAUAAAAACAAAAAGGUAAAAUUUCCUCCAUGUGAAGAAGUUGCUUGAAUGCAUGAAACUAUUCUGUAUAUGGACAACAUUUUUGCUAAGAGCUUGUGGAUCACUGAUGAUCAUUAUGAUGAUGUGGCACAGUGCCAGGAGUUUGUUACAGAGCCACUCCCUCACCCUGAUCAGUUAAGUGUCUUGAAACAGCUUAAGGAAGGGAUGUGGUAAAGAAGUAUCUUUGGACUGAGCUGCAACACACCAAAAUCAAACCAAACCAAAACAAACAAGUAGUAUACAGAAAGCAGAAGGAAAACCAGCCUAAAAAGGAAGAAUUUUAAAACAUUGCACCAGUGUGUUAGGAUUAAAAAGUUCAAUUGGAGCUCUAACUGGCAAGGAAAGAUUUAGGGCAACAAGAAUAGCAACAAGAACAGAUGCAAGGACAACAGCAAAAUCAACAAGGAAAACCUUUUUGCAGGCCUGGAAUUGUGCCCUAGUGACAGGGAAAUGGAGAGAGUUGGGAAGUCCAGUGCUGCCUUUGUCCUCACCAGCAAGACCCCCAAAUCUCUGUGCCCAGAGGCAAGGUUCAAGAAAGACAGCAACCACCAGGAGUAGAAGAUCAAGUUGUGAGGACACAGCUUCAUGGCUUCAUGAACCCAGAAUAAUUCCACACUGGAUUUGACACCUCAUUACUGGCUACAUGGAAUAAAGGAAGUUGCUGUGAGAAUCUGAGAUUAUAAAAGGUCCAAAGGUACACAUUCCAAACAGAACACUGACAGAAAUGUUUAUUCAAAGCACCUUAACACACCCUUUUACAAAUAAAAAUAUUGCAGGCUUAUCACACUAAAUCAUCUACUUUGAAAUUGCAUUUUUUGGGUCUUUUCCUUUAGUUAUACCAAACUCCUCUGUUUCCUCUGGUUCAUCCUCCGAAAUCAAUAAUUUCUGUGGAGUAGAAGGAAAGACAGGACAUAGAGAUGCAUUUUAUUACAAAACACUGGAAAGUAAUCCCAAUAACCUAAAACAUAACUCUAGAACUCUGCUGUCCACCUCAGUCCUCCUCACCCACUGCCUUGCAAUGCCAAUACUUGAAGUUGUUUACAUUGUUUGUCAGCUGGCAGACAGACUCAGUACACCCACACUGACUGCCACCAGCCCAUAUCAAACUCUGAAUAGCCAAAAAAUGCCUCUUCAUUAGAUGAUGUCACAAAGAAUGCAGAAUAAAAAAGAGGGAUUUCUGUGUGGAAAAAGAAUGAUGGUAAAGGGGCAGGGAGUACCAGGCUGCAAAGAAAACAGAUUUGGUUAUAUCUGCUCUUCACAGGAUGCAUAUUUUCUUCAAAUCAUUCCCUUAUCCUAUAACUUAACCUUGCUAAACCUAAAGACAAGGGGCACAAUAUGUUGCCUCAUUAAUUAUGGAUGGAGACCUAUGCUGAAAAAUGUUUUAAAUCAUCCAACUCCUUGAUUCUGGAAGUAAAGAGUUGGAGGGAACUUUGAAUCAAUCACUUUGCUGUGUUUUCAGGCAUUGGCAUCUGCCUCUGUGCCAUAUCAGACAGACACCUGGGCUCAUUUGUUCUCAAAAACACACUAGAAAAGCCACUGGGAAAGCCAGAACUGCUUUGUUGUGGUGGGCCAGAAAAUUUAUUAGAAUCAAUUUCAGUCCAAAUGGCUAUUUGAGUCCAAGGGUCUUUGAGACAAACCAGGCUCAAUGCAAUUUGCCAAAUCCAAAGCAGAGCUAUGAUCUACUGAUAUUUCUGAUGGAUUUGAGCCAAGCCCAGGGACCCUGU